CAGCCGCCGCGGUAAUACGAAGGGGGCUAGCAUUGUUCGGAUUUACUGGGCGUAAAGCGCACGUAGGCGGACAUUUAAGUCAGGGGUGAAAUCCCAGAGCUCAACUCUGGAACUGCCUUUGAUACUGGGUGUCUGGAGUAUGGAAGAGGUAAGUGGAAUUCCGAGUGUAGAGGUGAAAUUCGUAGAUAUUCGGAGGAACACCAGUGGCGAAGGCGGCUUACUGGUCCAUUACUGACGCUGAGGUGCGAAAGCGUGGGGAGCAAACAGGAUUAGAUACCCCAGUAGUCCCUGUCUCUUAUAC
This 301-nucleotide ribosomal RNA is filed under the name uncultured bacterium. Its description in RNAcentral is "partial 16S ribosomal RNA". It matches the Rfam family "Bacterial small subunit ribosomal RNA", at positions 509 to 807 of the family's 1533-position model. The record is from RNAcentral.